Molecule: long non-coding RNA, 525 nt
Filed under: Homo sapiens (human)
Lineage: Eukaryota; Metazoa; Chordata; Mammalia; Primates; Hominidae
Description: HSALNT0359340
Source: RNAcentral
AAAAAGUACACAAUGAAAAUGGUGAAACUGACAGAUUGUCAAUCUUGGCUGCUUUUAUCUCUCAGAAAAAUGAGUGGGAGUUGUAUACAGAAAAAUGUCUGCAUGGCUGUCUGCUACAGUGUUAGUUAUGCAGAUAAUCUAUGCAGCAUUUUUUUACUCCUAAUCAUCUCCUCAUCAAAGGCUCAUCAAGGGGUGCCUGGUGCCCGAUUCCUCACAAUGACUGCCACAUACCCUGGGUGACAUUUUGAGAUACAAUCAGAGCAGCUAUGAUAGCCAAAGCAGCCAAAGCAACAUUUUACAUAUUUUCAUGACAAAGGCACUAACAAUCUUUUCUGCUUGUUCUAGAAACCUCUGGAGUGUUCUAACUGGCAAAAACAAUGGUACUUUGCGGUUUUGAGCCUGGGAAACCUAAAAAAAACUUUGGCAAUUGUGUCUCUUCUCACUUCAUGGCUCUGGAAAACAAGAAGACUGCUCAGCUUGACUCCAAGAGAUGGAGUUUCACCAUGCUGCCCAGGCUGGUCUUGA